This 255-nucleotide ribosomal RNA is filed under the name uncultured bacterium. RNAcentral's name for it is "partial 16S ribosomal RNA". It matches the Rfam family "Bacterial small subunit ribosomal RNA", at positions 524 to 776 of the family's 1533-position model. The record is from RNAcentral.
GACGUAGGGCGCGAGCGUUGUCCGGAAUUAUUGGGCGUAAAGAGCUCGUAGGUGGUCUGUUGCGUCCGCUGUGAAAUCUCAGGGCUUAACCCUGAGCCUGCAGUGGAUACGGGCAGACUAGGAGGUAGGUAGGGGAGAAUGGAAUUCCUGGUGUAGCGGGUGAAAUGCGUAGAGAUCUGGAGGAACACCGAUGGCGAAGGCAGCCUUCUGGGCCAACACUGACGCUCAUGCACGAAAGCGUGGGGAGCAAACAGG